Molecule: long non-coding RNA, 1655 nt
Filed under: Mytilus galloprovincialis (Mediterranean mussel)
Lineage: Eukaryota; Metazoa; Mollusca; Bivalvia; Mytilida; Mytilidae
Source: RNAcentral
AUAUAUAUAUUUAUUUUUUAACUUUCUUUUCAAUUAAAUAUGUUUUAUAAUUUAACUUAUUUUGUAUUUUUUUUUAUAUUUACAAUGUAUUUCAUGAUUUUUUUUUCUCUCAGAAUUUCAUAAAUUGGAUAUCCCAUUCAUGACAAUAUUGCACAUUUAUAUUUCCUGCCAUCAAUCUGUGAUUUGAUAGUCACAAACAAUGACUAACUUAAUUGACUAUCACAUAUACAAUGUACUUGAAUUGUAUUCUUAAAGUAAUUGAUACUAUAAUUUAUUGUAAAAAUGUAUAUAUGAGCGGGGAUAGGACCUUUAUCGGGACUCCGGGAUCGGGUGUUUUUAAGCUCGGGAUUUCGGGAUUGACCCUUUCGUGAUCCGGGAAUUCAUUUUUCGAAUUUUGGGACCUUUCGGGAAUUCAUGUUUUUUAAGCCCGGGAUUUCGGUAUUUCGUGUUUUUAAGCUCAGGAUUUCGGGAUCAGGACCCCUCCUACCCUCCCUCAUAUAUGUUAUAAUUGACUGAACUUAGAUAUUUAUGGUGAUAAUGACUUCACAUUCCAUUUUAAAUAUAUUAUUUAUACUUAAGGCACAUGUUGAAGUGAAGAUACCUUUGUAAGGGGAGAUAUUUUUUUGUUAAUUGAGGUUGAUAAACUUUGGUAAGGGGAGAUAAUUGUUCAAAUCAUAAAUGACUGGGAUAGACUUUGGUAAGAGCCUAAGGGGAGAUAUUUUUUGUUAAUUGAGGUUGAUAAAUUUUGGUAAGGGGAGAUCAUUUUUCAAAUCAUAAAUGACGGGGUUAGACUUUGGUAAGAGCCUAAGGGGAGAUAUUUUUUGUUAAUUAAGGUUGAUAAACUUUGGUAAGGGGAGAUAAUUUUUCAAAUCAUAAAUGACGGGGAUAGACUUUGGUAAGAGCCUAAGGGGAGAUAUUUUUGUUAAUUAAGGUUGAUAAACUUUGGUAAGGGGAGAUAAUUUUUCAAAUCAUAAAUGACGGGGAUAGACUUUGGUAAGAGCCUAAGGGGAGAUAUUUUUUGUUAAUGAAGGUUGAUAAACUUUGGUAAGGGGAGAUAAUUUUUCAAAUAAUAAAUGAAUGGGAUAGACUUUGGUAAGAGCCUAAGGGGAGAUAGUUUUGUUAAUGAAGGAUGAUAAACUUUGGUAAGGGGAGAUAAUUUUUCAAAUCAUAAAUGACGGGGAUAGAUUUUGAUAAGAGCGUAAGGUGAGAUAUUUUUGUUAAUGAAGGUUGAUAGACUUUGGUAAGGGGAGAUAAUUUUUCAACUCAUAAAUGACGGAGAUAGACUUUGGUAAGGGGAGAUAAUUUUUCAAAUCAUAAAUGACGGGGAUAGACUUUAGUAAGAGCCUAAGGGGAGAUAUUUUUGUUAAUGAAGGUGGACAGACUUUGGUAAGGGGAGAUAAUUUUUCAAAUCAUAAAUGACGGGGAUAGACUUUAGUAAGAGCCUAAGGGAAGAUAUUUUUGUUAAUGAAGGUGGACAGACUUUGGUAAGAGGUGAUAAUUUUUUAAUGAAGGAGAAUAAACUUUGGUAAGGCGAGAUGAUUAAGGGGGAGAUAAUUCUUUUAAUUACAACUGGUGUUUUUAAAGUUGUGUCCCCUUUAAUGAAAAAAAAACACAGAUUUGAUAGUUACAUUAAUGGAAAAAAAUGAGACUUACAC